Molecule: ribosomal RNA, 362 nt
Filed under: uncultured bacterium
Lineage: Bacteria
Description: bacterial SSU rRNA
Rfam family: Bacterial small subunit ribosomal RNA
Source: RNAcentral
GCAAGCGUUGUUCGGAAUUACUGGGCGUAAAGGGCGCGUAGGCGGCCUGUUAAGUCGGACGUGAAAUCCCUCGGCUCAACCGGGGAACUGCGUCUGAUACUGGCGGGCUUGAAUUCGGGAGAGGGAUGUGGAAUUCCAGGUGUAGCGGUGAAAUGCGUAGAUAUCUGGAGGAACACCGGUGGCGAAGGCGGCAUCCUGGACCGACAUUGACGCUGAGGCGCGAAAGCCAGGGGAGCAAACGGGAUUAGAUACCCCGGUAGUCCUGGCCCUAAACGAUGAGUGCUUGGUGUGGCGGGUAUCGAUCCCUGCCGUGCCGAAGCUAACGCAUUAAGCACUCCGCCUGGGGAGUACGGUCGCAAGGC